This 2793-nucleotide ribosomal RNA is filed under the name Escherichia coli. RNAcentral's name for it is "bacterial LSU rRNA". It matches the Rfam family "Bacterial large subunit ribosomal RNA". Lineage: Bacteria; Pseudomonadati; Pseudomonadota; Gammaproteobacteria; Enterobacterales; Enterobacteriaceae. The record is from RNAcentral.
UUAAGCGACUAAGCGUACACGGUGGAUGCCCUGGCAGUCAGAGGCGAUGAAGGACGUGCUAAUCUGCGAUAAGCGUCGGUAAGGUGAUAUGAACCGUUAUAACCGGCGAUUUCCGAAUGGGGAAACCCAGUGUGUUUCGACACACUAUCAUUAACUGAAUCCAUAGGUUAAUGAGGCGAACCGGGGGAACUGAAACAUCUAAGUACCCCGAGGAAAAGAAAUCAACCGAGAUUCCCCCAGUAGCGGCGAGCGAACGGGGAGCAGCCCAGAGCCUGAAUCAGUGUGUGUGUUAGUGGAAGCGUCUGGAAAGGCGNGCGAUACAGGGUGACAGCCCCGUACACAAAAAUGCACAUGCUGUGAGCUCGAUGAGUAGGGCGGGACACGUGGUAUCCUGUCUGAAUAUGGGGGGACCAUCCUCCAAGGCUAAAUACUCCUGACUGACCGAUAGUGAACCAGUACCGUGAGGGAAAGGCGAAAAGAACCCCGGCGAGGGGAGUGAAAAAGAACCUGAAACCGUGUACGUACAAGCAGUGGGAGCACGCUUAGGCGUGUGACUGCGUACCUUUUGUAUAAUGGGUCAGCGACUUAUAUUCUGUAGCAAGGUUAACCGAAUAGGGGAGCCGAAGGGAAACCGAGUCUUAACUGGGCGUUAAGUUGCAGGGUAUAGACCCGAAACCCGGUGAUCUAGCCAUGGGCAGGUUGAAGGUUGGGUAACACUAACUGGAGGACCGAACCGACUAAUGUUGAAAAAUUAGCGGAUGACUUGUGGCUGGGGGUGAAAGGCCAAUCAAACCGGGAGAUAGCUGGUUCUCCCCGAAAGCUAUUUAGGUAGCGCCUCGUGAAUUCAUCUCCGGGGGUAGAGCACUGUUUCGGCAAGGGGGUCAUCCCGACUUACCAACCCGAUGCAAACUGCGAAUACCGGAGAAUGUUAUCACGGGAGACACACGGCGGGUGCUAACGUCCGUCGUGAAGAGGGAAACAACCCAGACCGCCAGCUAAGGUCCCAAAGUCAUGGUUAAGUGGGAAACGAUGUGGGAAGGCCCAGACAGCCAGGAUGUUGGCUUAGAAGCAGCCAUCAUUUAAAGAAAGCGUAAUAGCUCACUGGUCGAGUCGGCCUGCGCGGAAGAUGUAACGGGGCUAAACCAUGCACCGAAGCUGCGGCAGCGACGCUUAUGCGUUGUUGGGUAGGGGAGCGUUCUGUAAGCCUGCGAAGGUGUGCUGUGAGGCAUGCUGGAGGUAUCAGAAGUGCGAAUGCUGACAUAAGUAACGAUAAAGCGGGUGAAAAGCCCGCUCGCCGGAAGACCAAGGGUUCCUGUCCAACGUUAAUCGGGGCAGGGUGAGUCGACCCCUAAGGCGAGGCCGAAAGGCGUAGUCGAUGGGAAACAGGUUAAUAUUCCUGUACUUGGUGUUACUGCGAAGGGGGGACGGAGAAGGCUAUGUUGGCCGGGCGACGGUUGUCCCGGUUUAAGCGUGUAGGCUGGUUUUCCAGGCAAAUCCGGAAAAUCAAGGCUGAGGUGUGAUGACGAGGCACUACGGUGCUGAAGCAACAAAUGCCCUGCUUCCAGGAAAAGCCUCUAAGCAUCAGGUAACAUCAAAUCGUACCCCAAACCGACACAGGUGGUCAGGUAGAGAAUACCAAGGCGCUUGAGAGAACUCGGGUGAAGGAACUAGGCAAAAUGGUGCCGUAACUUCGGGAGAAGGCACGCUGAUAUGUAGGUGAAGUCCCUCGCGGAUGGAGCUGAAAUCAGUCGAAGAUACCAGCUGGCUGCAACUGUUUAUUAAAAACACAGCACUGUGCAAACACGAAAGUGGACGUAUACGGUGUGACGCCUGCCCGGUGCCGGAAGGUUAAUUGAUGGGGUUAGCCGCAAGGCGAAGCUCUUGAUCGAAGCCCCGGUAAACGGCGGCCGUAACUAUAACGGUCCUAAGGUAGCGAAAUUCCUUGUCGGGUAAGUUCCGACCUGCACGAAUGGCGUAAUGAUGGCCAGGCUGUCUCCACCCGAGACUCAGUGAAAUUGAACUCGCUGUGAAGAUGCAGUGUACCCGCGGCAAGACGGAAAGACCCCGUGAACCUUUACUAUAGCUUGACACUGAACAUUGAGCCUUGAUGUGUAGGAUAGGUGGGAGGCUUUGAAGUGUGGACGCCAGUCUGCAUGGAGCCGACCUUGAAAUACCACCCUUUAAUGUUUGAUGUUCUAACGUUGACCCGUAAUCCGGGUUGCGGACAGUGUCUGGUGGGUAGUUUGACUGGGGCGGUCUCCUCCUAAAGAGUAACGGAGGAGCACGAAGGUUGGCUAAUCCUGGUCGGACAUCAGGAGGUUAGUGCAAUGGCAUAAGCCAGCUUGACUGCGAGCGUGACGGCGCGAGCAGGUGCGAAAGCAGGUCAUAGUGAUCCGGUGGUUCUGAAUGGAAGGGCCAUCGCUCAACGGAUAAAAGGUACUCCGGGGAUAACAGGCUGAUACCGCCCAAGAGUUCAUAUCGACGGCGGUGUUUGGCACCUCGAUGUCGGCUCAUCACAUCCUGGGGCUGAAGUAGGUCCCAAGGGUAUGGCUGUUCGCCAUUUAAAGUGGUACGCGAGCUGGGUUUAGAACGUCGUGAGACAGUUCGGUCCCUAUCUGCCGUGGGCGCUGGAGAACUGAGGGGGGCUGCUCCUAGUACGAGAGGACCGGAGUGGACGCAUCACUGGUGUUCGGGUUGUCAUGCCAAUGGCACUGCCCGGUAGCUAAAUGCGGAAGAGAUAAGUGCUGAAAGCAUCUAAGCACGAAACUUGCCCCGAGAUGAGUUCUCCCUGAC